AACGCUGGCGGCAGGCUUAACACAUGCAAGUCGAGCGGGCGUAGCAAUACGUCAGCGGCAGACGGGUGAGUAACGCGUGGGAACGUACCUUUUGGUUCGGAACAACACAGGGAAACUUGUGCUAAUACCGGAUAAGCCCUUACGGGGAAAGAUUUAUCGCCGAAAGAUCGGCCCGCGUCUGAUUAGCUAGUUGGUGAGGUAAUGGCUCACCAAGGCGACGAUCAGUAGCUGGUCUGAGAGGAUGAUCAGCCACAUUGGGACUGAGACACGGCCCAAACUCCUACGGGAGGCAGCAGUGGGGAAUAUUGGACAAUGGGCGCAAGCCUGAUCCAGCCAUGCCGCGUGAGUGAUGAAGGCCCUAGGGUUGUAAAGCUCUUUUGUGCGGGAAGAUAAUGACGGUACCGCAAGAAUAAGCCCCGGCUAACUUCGUGCCAGCAGCCGCGGUAAUACGAAGGGGGCUAGCGUUGCUCGGAAUCACUGGGCGUAAAGGGUGCGUAGGCGGGUCUUUAAGUCAGGGGUGAAAUCCUGGAGCUCAACUCCAGAACUGCCUUUGAUACUGAAGAUCUUGAGUUCGGGAGAGGUGAGUGGAACUGCGAGUGUANAGGNGAAAUUCGNANAUAUUCNCAAGAACACCAGUG
This 638-nucleotide ribosomal RNA is filed under the name Bradyrhizobiaceae bacterium D257a. RNAcentral describes it as "bacterial SSU rRNA". It matches the Rfam family "Bacterial small subunit ribosomal RNA", at positions 32 to 714 of the family's 1533-position model. The record is from RNAcentral. Lineage: Bacteria; Pseudomonadati; Pseudomonadota; Alphaproteobacteria; Hyphomicrobiales; Nitrobacteraceae.